UACGACGGGGGCUAGCGUUGCUCGGAAUAACUGGGCGUAAAGGGUGCGUAGGCGGGUCUUUAAGUCAGGGGUGAAAUCCUGGAGCUCAACUCCAGAACUGCCUUUGAUACUGAAGAUCUUGAGUUCGGGAGAGGUGAGUGGAACUGCGAGUGUAGAGGUGAAAUUCGUAGAUAUUCGCAAGAACACCAGUGGCGAAGGCGGCUCACUGGCCCGAUACUGACGCUGAGGCACGAAAGCGUGGGGAGCAAACAGG
This 253-nucleotide ribosomal RNA is filed under the name uncultured bacterium. RNAcentral's name for it is "partial 16S ribosomal RNA". It matches the Rfam family "Bacterial small subunit ribosomal RNA", at positions 524 to 776 of the family's 1533-position model. The record is from RNAcentral.